Molecule: small RNA, 178 nt
Filed under: Arabidopsis thaliana (thale cress)
Lineage: Eukaryota; Viridiplantae; Streptophyta; Magnoliopsida; Brassicales; Brassicaceae
Description: ATSL134460
Source: RNAcentral
AUUAGUAUUUGACUAUUUAAUUUUUAAAGAAAUGAAUUAAUUUACUCUUUAAAAUUUAAUUUCUAAUGGCAUACCUAUAUAAUUAUUUACAAAAAAUAAGAUUAUAUUUAAAAUGUAUUUCCGAAAUAAUAUAGUAGGAUAAUAAAAAUGGAGAUGCAGUGAAGGGAAUGUGUACGUU